RNAcentral lists this microRNA precursor (259 nucleotides) under Medicago truncatula (barrel medic). RNAcentral's name for it is "miR2657 stem-loop (mtr-MIR2657)". Lineage: Eukaryota; Viridiplantae; Streptophyta; Magnoliopsida; Fabales; Fabaceae. The record is from miRBase by way of RNAcentral.
CCAGAUUCCUUGACAUUCAAGAAAAAUGGUGAAAAGAAGAAAUUUCAAGUUAUUGUGCAAGCAAGAAGUGUGACUCCAAGGGGAAGAUACCAAUUUGGAGAACUGCAAUGGACAAAUGGAAAACACAUUGUAAGGAGUCCCGUUACUGUUCAACGCAAAUGAAAGAUUAUUCCAAAUAGUUGGAUUUAAUGUGGUAUUAUUGGAUUAUACUAGUAUGCUUCUGUUAUUUCAUCGAUUUUGUUGUUGUACUUGUUGCUGU